CCUACGGGAGGCAGCAGUGGGGAAUAUUGGACAAUGGGGGCAACCCUGAUCCAGCCAUGCCGCGUGUGUGAAGAAGGCUUUCGGAUUGUAAAGCACUUUAAGUUGGGAGGAAGGGCUUUAGGCUAAUACCCUGAAGUUUUGACGUUACCGACAGAAUAAGCACCGGCUAACUCUGUGCCAGCAGCCGCGGUAAU
Molecule: ribosomal RNA, 194 nt
Filed under: uncultured bacterium
Lineage: Bacteria
Description: partial 16S ribosomal RNA
Rfam family: Bacterial small subunit ribosomal RNA
Source: RNAcentral